CCUACGGGAGGCAGCAGUGAGGAAUUUUCCGCAAUGGGCGAAAGCCUGACGGAGCAAUACCGCGUGAGGGAUGAAGGAUUUUGGUCUGUAAACCUCUUUUCUCAAGAAAGAAGUUCUGACGGUACUUGAGGAAUAAGCAUCGGCUAGCUCCGUGCCAGCAGCCGCGGUAAUACGGGGGAUGCAAGCGUUAUCCGGAAUGAUUGGGCGUAAAGCGCCUGUAGGUUGUUUAUUAAGUCCGUUGUUAAAGCCUAGGGCUUAACCCUAGAAAAGCAAUGGAAACUAGUAGACUAGAGUAUGGCAGGGGUAGAGGGAAUUUCUAGUGUAGCGGUGAAAUGCGUAGAUAUUAGAAAGAACACCGGUGGCGAAAGCGCUCUACUGGACCAUUACUGACACUCAGAGGCGAAAGCUAGGGUAGCAAAAGGGAUUAGAUACCCCUGUAGUCCUAGCCGUAAACGAUGGAUACUAGAUGUUGUGCAUUAUGUACAGUAUCGUAGCUAACGCGUUAAGUAUCCCGCCUGGGGAGUACGCUCGCAAGGGUGAAACUCAAAUGAAUUGACGG
RNAcentral lists this ribosomal RNA (559 nucleotides) under uncultured bacterium. RNAcentral describes it as "bacterial SSU rRNA". It matches the Rfam family "Bacterial small subunit ribosomal RNA", at positions 338 to 916 of the family's 1533-position model. The record is from RNAcentral.